This 442-nucleotide ribosomal RNA is filed under the name uncultured bacterium. RNAcentral's name for it is "bacterial SSU rRNA". It matches the Rfam family "Bacterial small subunit ribosomal RNA", at positions 28 to 484 of the family's 1533-position model. The record is from RNAcentral.
GACGAACGCUGGCGGCGUGCUUAACACAUGCAAGCCGAACGGUGAGCCAGAGCUUGCUCUGGGGAUCAGUGGCGAACGGGUGAGUAACACGUGGGCAACCUGCCCAGACUCUGGGAUAACCUCGGGAAACCGAUGCUAAUACCGGAUACGACCACUUCGGACAUCCGACGGUGGUGGAAAGUUUUUCGGUCUGGGAUGGGCCCGCGGCCUAUCAGCUAGUUGGUGGGGUAAUGGCCUACCAAGGCGACGACGGGUAGCCGGCCUGAGAGGGCGACCGGCCACACUGGAACUGAGACACGGUCCAGACUCCUACGGGAGGCAGCAGUGGGGAAUAUUGCACAAUGGGCGAAAGCCUGAUGCAGCGACGCCGCGUGAGGGACGACGGCCUUCGGGUUGGUAAACCUCUUUCAGCAGGGACGAAGCGAAGUGACUGUACCUGCAG